GGGUCAUGUCCAGAUGGUAAGUAUUCCCGCCUGUCACGCGGGUGACCCGGGUUCGAUCCCCGGCAACGGCGCCA
Molecule: transfer RNA, 74 nt
Filed under: Rhododendron griersonianum
Lineage: Eukaryota; Viridiplantae; Streptophyta; Magnoliopsida; Ericales; Ericaceae
Description: tRNA-Asp
Source: RNAcentral